This 497-nucleotide ribosomal RNA is filed under the name uncultured bacterium. Its description in RNAcentral is "partial 16S ribosomal RNA". It matches the Rfam family "Bacterial small subunit ribosomal RNA", at positions 28 to 507 of the family's 1533-position model. The record is from RNAcentral.
GAUGAACGCUGGCGGCGUGCCUAAUACAUGCAAGUCGAGCGAACAGACGAGGAGCUUGCUCCUCUGACGUUAGCGGCGGACGGGUGAGUAACACGUGGAUAACCUACCUAUAAUACUUGGAUAACUUCGGGAAACCGGAGCUAAUACCGGAUAAUAUAUUGAACCGCAUGGUUCAAUAGUGAAAGACGGUUUUGCUGUCACUUAUAGAUGGAUCCGCGCCGCAUUAGCUAGUUGGUAAGGUAACGGCUUACCAAGGCAACGAUGCGUAGCCGACAUGAGAGGGUGAUCGGCCACACUGGAAGUGAGACACGGACCAGAAUACUACGGGAGGCAGCAGUAGGGAAUCUUCCGCAAUGGGCGAAAGCAUGACGGAGCAACGCCGCGUGAGUGAUGAAGGUCUUCGGAUCGUAAAACUCUGUUAUUAGGGAAGAACAAAUGUGUAAGUAACUAUGCACGUAUUGACGGUAACUAAUCAGAAAGCCACGGCUAACUACGUG